This is a long non-coding RNA of Paramisgurnus dabryanus, 665 nucleotides long. RefSeq lists it as uncharacterized. NCBI's taxonomy places the organism in Eukaryota, Metazoa, Chordata, Actinopteri, Cypriniformes, Cobitidae. The record is from RefSeq and is a predicted model, not a curated record.
CAAAAUAUUUCCACAGAAUAAUAAAAAUAACAUUAUUCUAAUUUCAACUCCAUACAACUAACAUUCACAAUUUUAUUCAACAGCACACUUUAUGCAUCUCUUGUUUGUGUGUGUAUGUGUGCGACACAGAUUCAAAUUUGCCGCCAAUUCCCGCCCACAACGUCGAAUGUGUCGUAGGUCGUAACAGUCGAAUGAGCAGCAAUGAUUUGGUCACGUGUUUUAGAAGUUUGAAUUCACAAACGGAUGUCAUGCGACUCCUCAACGGGUUUGCGCGGAUAUCUUCGAUUCACUGCUUUAGGUGAGCCAUCCUCGGAUAUCAUGGAGCUGCAUUUGCAUUUUGGAAUAAGGAAUAUGUUUUCUCCUGCGUUUCGAACGAAGGACAGACAGUGAGAGAGAAGCCGUUGAUCCACUGAUGAUGUUGGUCUGUUUACAGAUUAUAGAAAAACCUGUGCUUGUGGAUCUACAUCGGAUGACCAUGGCAACCCAGGUGUGGAAAUAUUAGACUGUUUUUAAUCUGAAAUCUGUGUAAUCUAAGAUGGACAAUUCUUCUGACACCAUAUGAAUGCAUACUGUCGUCUGGCAGAAGCUAGAUCAUUUAGAUUAUAAAGUUAUAUGUUUUUACACAUGCAUCUAUUUGCUUCAGAAGGCCUUUAUUAAAGGAUUAG